This is a small nucleolar RNA of Coffea eugenioides, 105 nucleotides long. RefSeq annotates it as small nucleolar RNA snoR99. The transcript has a single exon. The record is from RefSeq and is a predicted model, not a curated record. NCBI's taxonomy places the organism in Eukaryota, Viridiplantae, Streptophyta, Magnoliopsida, Gentianales, Rubiaceae.
UUGCUUUUGGGAUGAACAGGUCCCUUACAUCCAAUCAUCAUUCAUCCUAUACUUAAUCUGCAUUGCUGGUAUAUGUUUUGCUGAUUAUACGGGGAUGAAACAAAA